This 479-nucleotide ribosomal RNA is filed under the name uncultured organism. Its description in RNAcentral is "partial 16S ribosomal RNA". It matches the Rfam family "Bacterial small subunit ribosomal RNA", at positions 331 to 801 of the family's 1533-position model. The record is from RNAcentral.
GUACACUCCUGCGGGAGGCAGCAGUGGGGAAUUUUGGACAAUGGGCGAAAGCCUGAUCCAGCCAUGCCGCGUGCAGGAUGAAGGCCUUCGGGUUGUAAACUGCUUUUGUACGGAACGAAACGGCCUUUUCUAAUAAAGAGGGCUAAUGACGGUACCGUAAGAAUAAGCACCGGCUAACUACGUGCCAGCAGCCGCGGUAAUACGUAGGGUGCAAGCGUUAAUCGGAAUUACUGGGCGUAAAGCGUGCGCAGGCGGUUAUGUAAGACAGUUGUGAAAUCCCCGGGCUCAACCUGGGAACUGCAUCUGUGACUGCAUAGCUAGAGUACGGUAGAGGGGGAUGGAAUUCCGCGUGUAGCAGUGAAAUGCGUAGAUAUGCGGAGGAACACCGAUGGCGAAGGCAAUCCCCUGGACCUGUACUGACGCUCAUGCACGAAAGCGUGGGGAGCAAACAGGAUUAGAUACCCCGGUAGUCCCAUGAU